RNAcentral lists this ribosomal RNA (484 nucleotides) under uncultured bacterium. RNAcentral describes it as "partial 16S ribosomal RNA". It matches the Rfam family "Bacterial small subunit ribosomal RNA", at positions 30 to 507 of the family's 1533-position model. The record is from RNAcentral.
AUUGAACGCUGGCGGCAGGCCUAACACAUGCAAGUCGAGCGGAUGAAGGGAGCUUGCUCCUGGAUUCAGCGGCGGACGGGUGAGUAAUGCCUAGGAAUCUGCCUGGUAGUGGGGGAUAACGUCCGGAAACGGGCGCUAAUACCGCAUACGUCCUGAGGGAGAAAGUGGGGGAUCUUCGGACCUCACGCUAUCAGAUGAGCCUAGGUCGGAUUAGCUAGUUGGUGGGGUAAAGGCCUACCAAGGCGACGAUCCGUAACUGGUCUGAGAGGAUGAUCAGUCACACUGGAACUGAGACACGGUCCAGACUCCUAAGGGAGGCAGCAGUGGGGAAUAUUGGACAAAGGGAGAAAGCCUGAUCCAGCCAUGCCGCGUGUGUGAAGAAGGUCUGCGGAUUGUAAAGCACUUUAAGUUGGGGGGAAGGGCAGUAAGUUAAUAACUUGCUGUUUUGACGUUACCAACAGAAUAAGCACCGGAUAACUUCGUG